This 344-nucleotide long non-coding RNA is filed under the name Equus asinus (donkey). Its description in RNAcentral is "lncRNA (ENSEASG00005024994.1)". The record is from RNAcentral. Lineage: Eukaryota; Metazoa; Chordata; Mammalia; Perissodactyla; Equidae.
CUGUCUGUCUCUGUCUCUCUUUUUUCUCCUUUCUCCCCACCUCACCUCUUAUUUUCUCUCCUGCCUCCCUCCCUGUCUAUCUUUCUCUGCCUCUCCCUCUCUAUUUCUUAUUACCAUUGUCAAUGCAGCAUCAUUAAGAGCCCAGGCGAGUUACCUUUGGCCUCCAAAGUUGUCAGUUGUCUCUCUCCCAUUCCUCUUUCACUGCCUUCUUCAUGAAUCUUCAGGAGGACUGAGGGCUGUCUUCAAUGUCUCUGCCAGGUGGUAAACUCCUCUGCUUGCAAGCAGUGAAUGUCAGAAGGAGGAGCUGAAUGAUUUCCUUCAGGUGCAAGACUUGGUAGAAAGCA